UGCCGCGUGUUCUCUCUCUUCCUCCAACCUGGUUAGGGUUCCCAGCCACUUCUCGUCCUCCGCCGCCGCGUAUUCCUCUCUGACCUCGCUGGGAGCAGCCAGGAGGACCCCGCCGCCGUGCCUCCCUUCUCUCCCCCUCUCCCUUCUGUCCCUUCUCCUACUUUUUCCGACCUCUCCAUCUCCUCUGAACUGCGCGCCGUUCCUCUUCGCAGGUGUCGUCAUGGAGCUCGCCCCCCGGGCUGCGUGCCCCUCCGACGACACCCUGCCUAGCCCGCUCCCAGGUCCUCUGGAUCCCGAUUUGCGUGUCUAUUAUUUUGCGCUCGAUCCAGAUUUGGACGGGACCUUUUUUCAGGCACCGCGAGCGUGCUGGACGGCGGGAAGGGCCGCGUCAAGAAGGCCGCCAGUGACGGCGGCUCUGGGGCGCUGCACGUCGCUGUCGUCUCACCCCCAAAUGCACCGCCCGCCCAAAGCCUUCUGCCGUUGUCCCUCCUAAUUACGACAGCGAGCGCCCAAUCCCCUCACAUGCACGUGAUAUCGUUCCACUGAACACACGUGCUGGCCGGCCCUGACUCUGUACUUCGAUAAUACACUACACGACUGUCGCUACUCCCAACUCGGUGUAGUCUAUCUCGUUGGUUGCAGAUGGGAUGGGAUAUUCUGCGGCGUGGACAUGGCCUAGCGAUCAGAUUUGGCAGGAAGAUCUCAUCCUGGAACCCAGGUGUGCUUGAUUUGAUAUUUAGAAUUCUAUUUGCUAGGUAUGUACAUGCAUAGCGUACGGUGUAUCCAAAGCUUUGUUUAACCAGUGGUAUGUACAUGCAUAGCGCCCAAUUCUAUUUGUUAGAACUAAUCUCUGGUUUAGUAGAAGCCCACAGUGGUUGCAAUACUAGAGUCAUAUCUAUUGUGGGCAAGAUUGAAAAAUUGCAUAUAUCCAGUCGUCUUAUGUGUUUAUCACCAAUGAAACUGUGCAACAUUACAACAAGAUAAAUAAACGAACAGUGCCAUAUGAGUUAAAAGAAUUUUAAGCCUUUUUUGAGCAAUUAAUCUGCAACUUUCAAGGACGGGAGGUGCUUUUGAUCUUCUAAUUAGUUCGUCCAGAUUAGGUUUUUUUUUCUGCUGGUCCAAGGUUUGUAUAUCACCGACUUAGAUUUGUUUUUCUUCAUGCGCAUAUGUUAGAGUAAUAUCCAUGCGCUAAAAAAUUUCAUUCUGAAUUUCCUUCGUGCAUCAGUGUAUAUAUAUGUUUCUUAUGAUGCCCGGGUGCGUUUACCUUGUCAAGAAGCUUCGCGUGAACGUCAAUGCCGAUGACAACAAAGGUGGUCUGUUUCGCUUCCUCCUUCCGAUUUUGCAAAAUAUAAACACCAGGGUGUCUAGAAAUUCAGAUUGUUGGUUCACCAGCAGCACGGUCAGUAUGAUGAAACAGACUGCACUGAUACUUUAUUUGUGUGUUCGAUAUAGUCUAAUUUAAUAUACCAGCGAUGAUGGUAUUGAAUCUGCAAAAAUAUAUAUGCUAAUUUCCUAAUUGCAUCUUUUAAUCAGGAGCCCAGGACCAACCUUUAGGCAGGAAAGAGGGACAAUCUUCAGUAAGCUACAAUCUUCAUGUCUUCUUGUAGCAUUUGACUGACGUGUUAUGGUAUCAUUCUUCUACUUUCACAGUUAUUACUGUGAAUAUGUUGACCUCAUGUCUUCUCAUCAUUUGAGCUCACUUUGAUAUUACUGGUUCUAAAUCCAACAAGAUCUUGAAUAUUUUUCACUUUGCCCAUUCAAAAAUUUGUUCACCUAACAACAUUCAUGAUGUAAGCUUUGGUUUGAAAAACACCUUUUCAAUGUUAUAGGACAUACAAACAAGAAGGGUAGGGAGAACAUGCCCGAGAAGCUCAGAGAUAAGGCAGAAGCCUUGCUGGGGAAGAGAAGCAAGCUCAAGCACUCUUGAGCAUGGGCUGAUAGAGCGGCCGAGCAGGGCGAUCGAGCGCAGUCGUGCGCGAGGGGAAGUGAAUCUGGGAGAGGCAUCAGGGGGCCAUCAGCAGGAAGGCAGCAGGUGGCGUGCAGCACUGGACUUAGCCAUGUCUUCGCCAAGGUGGCUGGUUGUUUCCACAACAUGUUUGGAUGGUGAUGUUGUUAUGGUCGCGUAGGGUCGGAGUUCCUUGACUGCAUUUAUCUCAGCAAAAUCUCAUGAUGAUGCGUUCACGGACGCCGCCGUUGCUGCAUCUUCAUCCUCCGGGCCUCCGUCGUCGACUUCAUCUUCAACCUCCAUCCGCCGCCGCCGUCCAUGGGAUGGUUAAUCGAAGGAGAAGCUUGUGGUGUGGCUCAGCCCAGUGGCUCUGAAACUCCACUGGAUAACGCUGCUGAAUACUGUCAAAGGAAGGAAUCAGUGCUAAGGUGAUCAACCUUCGAUCAGUUAGGCCACUGGAUAGAGCUGCGAUAAAAGCAUAUGUUACGAAAACAAAUAGGUUGGUGAUUCUUGAAGAAGGCUUCCCCCAACAUCGUGUUGGUGCUGAGAUAUGGUUCUCUCUCUCUCUCUCUCUCUCUCUCCACACACACAUCAUGUCAGGUUUGAGCAGGCCAACCCUUCUCCAAUUAUUCAUUCGAAUUAUUGUACAGAAUCUACAAUUAUAAGAAAAAAGUAUUUGAUAAAUUAGAGAGAGAUAUGCUUACAUAAAUUGCUCACCCCUGAAGGAUGAAGCAAAUCCCAAGUAACAUGUUAAUAUAUCUUGAUGCAUAUUUGUAUUUACUUUGCUUCAGGUUCGCAUGCAGUGACGGGGAUUUCAUCGAUGUCGCCUCCAUUUUCUUGGUGAACCCACAUUUCCCUCUUAAGAUUGUUUACUUUAUCCUUGCUGCAUCGGCCUUGCAUAUGGCCAUUGGGUACUGAUCGCCUCCAUGUCUUUGGUACAUUCUGAAGGAGAAGAUUGCUGGUCGAGAAGGUCAUUUAUCUGAUAUUAGUUUAUUGAAGAAAUUGGCAAGGAUGUAUUUUCAGUACAUUAGGAUUUUUUGUAGUCACAUGGUUCUGAUAGGAAGAUACCGUUGCUACCAGGUCAACAAUCUCCCCUUCAAUAAUAUUUGAUUUACA
This is a long non-coding RNA of Triticum aestivum (bread wheat), 3061 nucleotides long. RefSeq lists it as uncharacterized. The record is from RefSeq and is a predicted model, not a curated record. The transcript is spliced from 6 exons. NCBI's taxonomy places the organism in Eukaryota, Viridiplantae, Streptophyta, Magnoliopsida, Poales, Poaceae.